GCCCGAAAAUGGCAAAACAUUCGAAAGGAUGUGGCGCAAAGCUACUGGCCUAAGUCCUCUUACAGGAUAUGGUUGCAGGGUUGCCGGA
RNAcentral lists this non-coding RNA (88 nucleotides) under Candidatus Jettenia caeni. RNAcentral describes it as "planctomycete KSU-1 c-di-GMP-I riboswitch aptamer". It matches the Rfam family "c-di-GMP-I riboswitch aptamer". Rfam says of the family: GEMM was predicted in a large-scale screen for bacterial structured RNA regulatory elements. Genes associated with GEMM are involved in a diverse array of functions, including chemotaxis regulation, signal transduction, secretion and chitin. Lineage: Bacteria; Pseudomonadati; Planctomycetota; Candidatus Brocadiia; Candidatus Brocadiales; Candidatus Brocadiaceae. The record is from Rfam by way of RNAcentral. RNAcentral also lists the same sequence under 1 other name.